CGGGGUUAAAGGGCUGCGGUAAUUUGACCGUGCGAAGGUAGCAUAAUCAAUAGUCUUUUAAUUGAAGGCUUGAAUGAACGGUCGGACGAUAAAUAAACUGUCUAGGGGGUUGAGUUUGAAUUUGACUUUUAUGUGAAAAGGCAUAAAUCGAUUAAGGGGACGAUAAGACCCUAUAAAACUUUAUACUUACUGCUUAUGUUUACAAUAAAUAAAUAAAGAUAAGUAGAAUGUAUUAUGCUGGGGCGGCAAGGAUAUAAAUGUAGUAACUGUCUGUUAAAAAGAAUAUUAAUAAGUAGAUAAUUGAACCUUUAGCUUAAGGAUUAUAAGAUUAAGUUACUUUAGGGAUAACAGCGUGAUUUUUUUUGAGAGUCCAUAUCGACAAAAUAAGUUGCGACCUCGAUGUUGAAUUAAGGUUAACUUCUAGGGGCAGAAGUUUAGAGAAGUAGGUCUGUUCGACCUUUAAUACCUUACAUGAUUUGAGUUCAGACCGGUGUGAG
RNAcentral lists this ribosomal RNA (497 nucleotides) under Athanas cf. dimorphus CUHK LMT CAR66. RNAcentral describes it as "partial large subunit ribosomal RNA". It matches the Rfam family "Bacterial large subunit ribosomal RNA", at positions 1918 to 2625 of the family's 2925-position model. The record is from RNAcentral. Lineage: Eukaryota; Metazoa; Arthropoda; Malacostraca; Decapoda; Alpheidae.